Varroa destructor (honeybee mite) is the source of this 701-nucleotide long non-coding RNA. RefSeq lists it as uncharacterized. NCBI's taxonomy places the organism in Eukaryota, Metazoa, Arthropoda, Arachnida, Mesostigmata, Varroidae. The record is from RefSeq and is a predicted model, not a curated record.
CACGCAUUAUUUUACUCUAAUUUCUAAUAUACCCAAUAAUACCCUAAUUUCUACAAUACCAUUUUCAAUCUUCUUCUUAAUUUCAAAGUAGUUGCAGUCGGAGUUCCGAAACAUUUGCUUUAAAACGUACGAUCCCAUUUUGACCUCUAAAAAAAAAGGCUUUCCUGUGAUGUUGUAGCAAUCGACAACCGGCGCAAGGCAUUACUAGUGAUCCGCAGCUAGGAAAAGAAGUCAGUUUAACGUAGCUGUCAAUGAAGGGCAACAAUACGGAUCUAAUGCAACGAUAAUUCGACGCAAGUCUGGCAUUCACGGUCUAUAAGGAGAAGACAGUGAGACUAUAUUACUUCAGAUCGGCCCUUCGUUUGUUCGUGCCUACACAAGUAACAAAAAGAAAAAAGAAAUGAUGAUGCUCAGAGAGGACCUUGAGAGCGAGAUCUUCCUCCGUAUUAGACCGCUGUGUGGGAGAUCUCAACUGUUAACUUUUUCCACCAUUGACGUAUAUUCGACUUCCUCGAGGCAUAUCUAAGUUGAAACUGCAUUUAGGUUAAAGAAUUUAUAAAAACCGCCUAAAACUGAUAACGGUACUCUUGAAUUGACAAAGCGGUUUAUGAUUUAUCUGUGUUAUGUAAAAGUGCUUUGCGAUGUACACCAUUAAUUUUAGUUAUCGUGCGUGCGUUAAACUCAUAUUGAGCACUCAUAAA